This 116-nucleotide ribosomal RNA is filed under the name Sinocyclocheilus anshuiensis. Lineage: Eukaryota; Metazoa; Chordata; Actinopteri; Cypriniformes; Cyprinidae. The record is from RNAcentral.
UCCACAGCCAUAUCACCCUGCAGCCCAAGACUGGUUGCCCACUGAAGCUAAGCAGGGUUGAGCCUGGUCAGUACCUGGAUGGGAGACCUCCUGGGAAAACGGGGUUGUUGUUGGAA